AACGCGAAGAACCUUACCAAGGCUUGACAUCCCUGGAAGGUCUCCGAAAGGAGACUGUGCCAUUUGGAAUCAGGUGACAGGUGUUGCAUGGCCGUCGUCAGCUCGUGUCGUGAGAUGUUUGGUUAAGUCCAUCAACGAGCGCGACCCUUAUAGUUAGUUGAAUUUCUCUAGCUAGACUGCCCCGGCAACGGGGAGGAAGGAGGGGAUGAUGUCAGGUCAGUAUUACCCUUAUGCCUUGGGCUACAAACACGCUACAAUGGCCGGUACAAAGGGCAGCCAACCCGCGAGGGGGAGCAAAUCCCAUCAAAACCGGUCUCAGUUCGGAUUGUAGGCUGAAACCCGCCUGCAUGAAGCCGGAAUCGCUAGUAACGGUAGGUCAGCAAACUACCGUGAAUACGUUCCCGGGCCUUGUACACACCGUACGUC
RNAcentral lists this ribosomal RNA (426 nucleotides) under uncultured bacterium. RNAcentral's name for it is "bacterial SSU rRNA". It matches the Rfam family "Bacterial small subunit ribosomal RNA", at positions 958 to 1398 of the family's 1533-position model. The record is from RNAcentral.